CCCUUAGAUGUUCUGGGCCGCACGCGUGCUACACUGAGUGGAUCAGCGGGUCAGGUUGCGCGAAAGCGUUUCCUAAUCUUUAAAUCCGCUCGUGAUGGGGAUUGACGGUUGCAAUUUUCCGUCAUGAACGAGGAAUACCUUGUAAGCGCGGGUCAUCAUCCCGCGCUGAAUACGUCCCUGCCCUUUGUACACACCGCCCGUCGCUCCUACCGAUUGAGUGGUCCGGUGAGGCUUUGGGAUCUAAGCGAAAAGAGCGUUUCGCUCCUUUUGCUGGGAGAACUCAGUCGAACCUUAUCAUUUAGAGGAAGGAGAAGUCGUAACA
RNAcentral lists this ribosomal RNA (322 nucleotides) under uncultured eukaryote. RNAcentral describes it as "partial 18S ribosomal RNA". It matches the Rfam family "Eukaryotic small subunit ribosomal RNA", at positions 1470 to 1796 of the family's 1831-position model. The record is from RNAcentral.